ACGUCACUUUCACAACACUGUCUAGCACUCGCAGCUUGAAGCUGUCUGUGAGGUACUAUGGAGAGAAAACUGAGUCGCUCGGGGACGCCGUGCUGCAUCUAACGGCUGUCGAGAUAUCUCUGGACGUAGAUGCUGACCGAGAUGGCAUUGUUGAGAAAAACAAUCCAAACAAGG
Sinocyclocheilus grahami is the source of this 174-nucleotide long non-coding RNA. RefSeq lists it as uncharacterized. Lineage: Eukaryota; Metazoa; Chordata; Actinopteri; Cypriniformes; Cyprinidae. The transcript has 3 exons. The record is from RefSeq and is a predicted model, not a curated record.